RNAcentral lists this long non-coding RNA (3337 nucleotides) under Homo sapiens (human). RNAcentral's name for it is "non-protein coding lnc-FANCC-1:4". The record is from RNAcentral. Lineage: Eukaryota; Metazoa; Chordata; Mammalia; Primates; Hominidae.
CUGAGCCCCGCCCCGCCGCGGGGGAGAGGCCUCCGGGAGCCGGGGCCGCCCAGAGCCGCAGCCGCCGCGCAGGCAGGGCCGGGCCGGGCCGGGUGCGCGGGCACAAAGGGGCCGCUGCACAUGGCAGGCAGGCGAGCAGAUGCCAGCAGACAGCUUUUGUCGUCCAGUCUCCCAGUCAUCCGCCUGACCUGCUCCUGUCUGAACAUCCUACCGCGAGUCAAGGCAAAUGGGCUCAGCCGCUGUUCCACUCCACCCAGGCUUGGAGUGGACUCCCCGUGAGCCUGCAGAGGGGCAGGAUGCUGAGUAGCAGGCCAUGCGGGUGCGCCCGGGGUCUCACCCCAGCCCCAGGGAAGAGGCUGUUUCAUUCAGUGAACCAAGAGGUGAUGAAGGGGAGAGCUCAAGCGGCCUCCUGUUCCCUUGGGAACUUGAGGGGGUGUCGGGAUGUGUUCCCUUUCUGCACUCAGCUGGGAAAGAGCUGGUGGAGAAUUUUCCCUUCUGAGCAGAGAGAGAAUUCUCUUCACCUCCCCCGCCCCGCCCCCGCCCACUCCCACAGCCACCAGUUCUCUGGGCAACCCUAGUUAGCAGUUUGGGCCUUUCUUUCUGCACACAAUUGACCUGGAGGGCCUGAGUCUGGUCCAUUCAGAGGCCACAUGGAACACUCUGUUUUUGUCACUGCCCUCUCAUCUUCUAGAAGCAUAACCUUAUCCAACAGAAAGAGGCAAAAGCGAUUGGGCCCGACCUCUCCCAGUGACAGUGUUUGCACUUCAUUCCAUGGCACAGCGUCUUCUGUAACUUUAAGAUUUAACAUUUCAGAUUAUUUUCCACUGGGGCUCCCAUCGAUGCUGAGUUCUGGCUACUUUUUUCCCCUGAUGCUGAAAGGUUCGAUUCUUCCAUCUAUCCAUCAACAAAUCACAUUGAAUGACGGUGCUCAGUGACCCAGGAUGCCACUGGAGACAAAACACACUAUACAUAUUUUCUGGUCUCCCUGGAAAAUUAGUGCAAACACUUUCAUCACUGCGGAGAAGGGAAAUAUGCGCGGAGCUGUGAAAAUCUGCUUUGUUUUUUGUUUUUCUAAGAGGAGAUUUCCCCCUCCUUCAAACAGUGAAAUUUAUAUUGUUCUUUGUCUGCAAAUUAACCAGUUAAGUAGAAUUCCUGUAUGUCUCUUUCACUUUCUGCAAGCCAAGGCCCCUCUUUCUCUCCACCCUGUAUUCAUACAUAGUCCAGGAUCACCCCCUGUCCCCCUCCAAUGCUGCUUGAAAUUUCAUUCCAUUUUCGUCCUGACUUGUUCAAAGUAACAUUUAAAAUAUUUUAAUUCAAAUUCUUAUCUCAUCCAUCCUGUUUAAGUUCCAUUUUAAAGAAUCUUCUUUUCUUAUGAAUGGUCUGUUUUUGAUUCAGUGGAAAACUUGGGCUGCUCAACCCUUUCUCUCUCCUGUUAAAUUUUCACUUUUAUGAAGAGAUCAGAUGUCACCCUCUGGAAAUGGAGCGGGAGGAGACCCAGGAGCUCUGGCCCUCCCUGCAGCCCCGCGUGGUGCUCCCUGUGCAGCCGCUCCCCCUGUUCAGUGGAGAGGACAAUUAAUCUCCCACUACACAGAAGUGGUGCCUGAAUGCACCAAGAUGAAAAUGUUUGUGUACAGGGUGGUCUAUUUAAAACAGUUCCCAUAUGAUGCAAUGCAGCUUGACAAGGAAACUCUUUCAGAUGACUCACCAUUUCACAAUAACAAUUAGCAUUUGAGAAUCUUGCAUAGAACACCCAGCAGAAGAAUAUUUUAUUGAUUUCUUAAGAGUUUCCACACGCUGGCUGGGGCUUCAAUCAAGACAACCUAUUAAAGACUGAUGUCCAAUUUCAUUUGUAUGAGUUCGCAGUAAGGGAGAUAAAGUUUAACAGUGCAAAAGAGAAGGACUUAGGAAAUGCAGACUUCAAAUUCAGAUAAGCCAUCAGUGGGACCUAGUUUUUCAAAAAACCAAUAAAAUGUCUGGAUGCAUUAAUGAAGGCAUAAUAUUUCAAAUGAAGGAGGUGAUAAUCAAUCACAUUAUAUUCUUUGAUGGUCAGGCUAUAUUUGGAGUAUUUUUUAAGUUACAGGCAAUGAAUUUUAAAAUAACCAGAAAGCAUCCAAGGUAGACAAUCUAAAUAAUGAAGACUGAAAACUAGAUUCUCUAGAAGAACAGGAUUCUGCAUUAGAAUUGGGUUGCAGUCCUAGCAGUCCCUUACCAGCUGUGAGCUUAGGCAAGUUACCUAAUCUUGCCUCAAUAUCCUCAUCUACAAAAAAGAUGAUAAUUUUUAAAAACCCAUACCAUGGGGUUAUUCUGAGGGUUAAAUAAUUCAUACAUAGUUAGUGGCAGAGUGCCUGGCACAUAGCAUGUGCUCAAUAAAUAUUAGAUAUUGUUAUUAAUGUUGACAACAAAAACAGUGAUUAUGAUACCACCUUAUGGUGGUAUAGCGUUUUCAGUUUAUAAAGUGACUUUAUAUCAUUAUGUUUUCUAAUGUUCAUGUUUAAUACGAUUUGGUCAUUACUAUCCUCAUUUUUGGAGGAAGAGAACUUUGGGGUCAUCUGCCCUGAGAGGGCCUUUCCUUCCUGCUCAGCUUGGCUGGGCACCAGCCUCCUAUGCCACCUCCAGGCAGUCCUCACAGCCUGGGGCGCCUCUGGCCCCCAGCAGCUGACCCUCCUCCUGAGGAGGAACCAGCCCUGGAGGGAGGACCCCUGACGAUGGAUUUGGCCAUCUUUGUGAUUACAAAGUUUCCAGUCAGCCUCGCCAUUCAAAUCUCAUUGGUCCAUCUAUGCAAAAAAAAAAAGCAAAACAAAACAAAAAAUUGUGUGUAUGUGUAUGUGUAUGCACAUACACAUCCAUGUUCGAAAGAAAAUACACCGCAAGGUUAACACUGGUACUCUCUGCGUAAUGGAUUAUAGGUAUUUUUAAAUCUUUCUUUCUAAGGUGUAUUUUCUAAUUUAAAUUUUUUUUUUCACUGUGGAUUUGUAUUGCCUGGGAAUAAAGAACUAAGAAGUGCUUCACAACAGCAUGGGGCUGUUGUGACCGGUUCAUUGUAACUAACAUUAGAAAGGCCCACAGUUUAUAAAAGAUGAUGAAUGGGCAGAACCUGCUAGCAUCCAUCCAAUAUCCGUUCUGUCCUUCUCCCUAACCAUGGUGAUUUUGACAGGGCAGCACUGGGCCGAAAAAUUACACACCUUCAUUUGCAGCCAGGGGUGGUCACACAGCCCAGUUCUAAUGGAUAAGAUGAGAGCAGAAGUCUCUGAGUGAGAAUUUAACUUUAUCCUUUUGUUUUUGUUAUGAUUUUCUUCUACCAUAUACUUGCAGCAAUAGGAAGACUUUAUUGUUGUUA